CCUACGGGAGGCAGCAGUGGGGGGUAUUGCACAAUGGGCGGAAGCCUGAUGCAGCGACGUCGCGUGAGGGAUGGAGGCCUUCGGGUUGUGAACCUCUUUCUCCGGUGGUGAAGGCCCUGUCCGUUGCGGCGGGGUUGACGGUAGCCGGGUAUGAAGCGCCGGCUAACUACGUGCCAGCAGCCGCGGUGAUACGUAGGGCGCGAGCGUUGUCCGGAAUUAUUGGGCGUGAAGGGCUUGUAGGCGGCCGGUCGCGUCCGCCGUGAAAUUCUCCGGCUCAACCGGGGGCUUGCGGUGGGUACGGGCCGGCUGGAGUGCGGUAGGGGAGGCUGGAACUCCUGGUGUAGCGGUGGAAUGCGCAGAUAUCAGGAGGAACACCGGUGGCGAAGGCGGGUCUCUGGGCCGUUACUGACGCUGAGGAGCGAAAGCGUGGGGAGCGAACAGGAUUAGAUACCCUGGUAGUC
RNAcentral lists this ribosomal RNA (461 nucleotides) under uncultured Actinomyces sp. RNAcentral describes it as "bacterial SSU rRNA". It matches the Rfam family "Bacterial small subunit ribosomal RNA", at positions 338 to 795 of the family's 1533-position model. The record is from RNAcentral. Lineage: Bacteria; Bacillati; Actinomycetota; Actinomycetes; Actinomycetales; Actinomycetaceae.